CCUACUACCCCUCCGUUGUGGUCCUUCGGUCCUCCCCACCCGAACCGUACCGGCCCGGCCGGUCCGGACCGGUACGAGGACGGUACGUUACCUACCGACCGUUCCGUUCGCCGCCGAGACGUACGACAUAAGUACGACCCACCUCGGAGGGUAUGCGGCCAGAGAACUAACACGAAAGUAUAGGGACCCGGGCCNCAAAGACAGCGGAGGCACAUGGCGUAUUACGUACGCAACGACGAGAAACGUAACCCUAACGGACGUUGUACGAACUAGUCACGGAAAGGUAACUCCCACAGAUGGNGGGGUCCGUAAGGGUCCUGCACAGGUGGUGCAUGGUUGUCGUCAGCUCGUGUCGUGAGAUGUUGGGUUAAGUCCCGCAACGAGC
Molecule: ribosomal RNA, 385 nt
Filed under: uncultured bacterium
Lineage: Bacteria
Description: partial 16S ribosomal RNA
Rfam family: Bacterial small subunit ribosomal RNA (bases 203-385)
Source: RNAcentral